GACCGGAAGCCACGGAGCUGGAGCGAGCAGGAGGUUGGUUGCUCUAGUGAUGAAGGAAGCCAACCUUCCCGCCUGCCGAGGCCACCUCUGAGCUCCACUGAAGGCAACAAAUUUCAAUUAUAGGAGGUAAAUAAAUCCCAGAAUUAAAAA
Long non-coding RNA from Myotis davidii, 150 nucleotides. RefSeq lists it as uncharacterized. NCBI's taxonomy places the organism in Eukaryota, Metazoa, Chordata, Mammalia, Chiroptera, Vespertilionidae. The record is from RefSeq and is a predicted model, not a curated record. The transcript is spliced from 2 exons.